CCCGACCUCAGGUGAUCCGCCUGCCUGGCCUCCAAAGUGCUUGGAUUAUAGUCGUGAGCCACCGUGCCCGGCCUGUGGUCUAGUUUUUAAAGGUUAUUUGCCCAGAUGACUUUUUGUAUCCUUUGCAAUCUAAAUACAGUUGUCCCUUGGUAUCCACAGGCGAUUGGUUCCAGGACUCCCCAACCCCCUGGACACAUCCUUGGGUGCUCAAAUCCCUUACAUAAAAUGCAAAGUGUUUGCCUAUAACCUAUGCAUAUCCUCUUGUGUACUAAAAUCAUCUUUAGGUUACUUAUACUCCCUAAUACAGUGUAAGUGCUACAUAAAUAAUUCUUCUGGUAUACUGUUUUCAUUUACUUGUAUGAUUUUUAUUGUCAUAUUAUUUUUAUUAAAAUUUUUUUUUCGAGUAUGUUCUGUCUGUAGUUUGAAUCACCAAGAAUGCAAAGGGCCAAAAGUAUCAACAGCUCAAAGUGGAGAGCCCAGGGUCCAGGCACGGAUCAUUGUGGGGAGAAUAGGGCUGGUGGAGAAGAAACUGGACCCCCAGAGCUGGCUCUGACCGUGGGCUGGGAGCUCCUCCAGGAUGCUUGGUUAGGACCAGCAGGGCGGCCAGCACUAUGGAGAUAUGCUGCUGCUUUUGGAAGUGGGGAGAGGGGUAUGACCUUUCCUGGGAAACAAAUCAGAGUAAAACCAGAAGAAGAAUCUAGACUUUUUAGAGUAACUUGGCAAACAAAGCUCAGACAGAUGGAGGGGUGUUCAAGGAACUUUGCACAAUUUCCUGUGGGCUAAGAGAAGACACUUGUAAAUCUGAAAGGGCACCAUAGGGAGAGCUCCUGCAGGGAAGGGAGAGGGUCACCCUUCUCUCCCCAACCCCAGGCUUGGUUGAGGGUAGAAAAUGGGAGGGGGUAAAGGAGGCUGUCUGUUUCCCUCAGUGCAAAUGCCUGGAUAGCACGUGUGUGCAGGCUGUAUCCCUGAGCUGAGGAGCACCUGAUGGGUAGCUGUUGACUGACUGUCCAUGCAAGGCAUAUGGGCCAUGCUUGGCAGCCUCCAGCAGGCUGGGCUUGUUCACCUGCAUCCUGUCCAGCUAUCCUGGCUUUGGUGUUAAAAGACGGCCCUGGAUUGAAGGAGUGGCAUAAGGUCACACGUGGGUGCUUGAUGAUGAUCUAGAGCCUUGAGCCCUCAUCUGCACAGCCUCCUCCUCCAUGGCAGCAAGUCAUUGUCCUGUGGGCCCCAUUUCUAAUCUGGACGCCCAGCAGUUACCUCAGAAAGUGCUGCGGGGCUCGGGUGUCCUCUCAGAGGAUAUGAGCACUCCUGAGUCGUUCUCACUGCCUGUGUUCAUUUCACUCACUGUGUGCUUCAUUCGUUCAGCCCUGAGUAUCUGCUGAUGUUUCCCAGCUAGGAGUGCUUCCUUCAGGUAAUAGAGGGAAGCAUGAUCUGGGAAAGGGAACGUUUUCCUUUUGCCCCAUGAAGAGACGUCCUGAGACACUUCAACAACCAGGAAGGUUCCCAAGAAGACACUGGGUUGCAGUAAAAGUGUUCAGCUGCUAGUGACCGCUCAGGUGAGACUUGCGAGAGAGAAUGACAGUGACGUUGAGCAUAGCAGCCCCUCAGAAAGCAAACCAAGGCGUGGGUGCCUGACAUGCAUGAUUCCUAAUUCACACAGCCCCUGCAGAAGUGAGGCAUCCCUGUAUCCUGUUUGUACAUGAGGAAAAUGAGGCCCCUGGAAUUCAUGUAUUUUGCCCAAGGCCAUGUCACUAGGAGGCCGGAAUUAGUGAAGCUGGAAUUCAUACCUAUGGCUGUCUGAUUCCGAAGCUGGGCUCUUUCCACGGCAUGGUCCAAGCGUGCAGUCUAGAGCAAGGGCUGAUGGGGUUUGUUUGAAGGAACAUGAGAUCGUGGAGUGCCAGGCUGGCUGGUAUGGGGCCCUGGCUGGGAUGAGAUGCUGUCUUUAAGUGUCAGGGAUGGACAAAUGUCCCUGUCAGGAGAUGUUGGUCCCUGGCAGCCGGGCACAGUGGCAGCAGUCUCAGCCUGGCCUGCCCUGCACAAGCCUUCAGGCACAUGGGCCUCUUGACAGUGACAGCUGCGAUUCCAUGCCUGCACCAGUGGCGGGAGAGAUGCGGGUGAAACAAGGGGGAAAGGACUGUAAUUACCUCUUAACACAUUUCCACAUUUCUCUGCUGUCAGAAUGGUUUUGUUUUCUGAUUUAUUUUGAUCUGCUUGAAAAUUAGUUGCUGCAGUAUGUUUGGUGUGUAAUCAUUGUCCUGCUAGCUAGCAGUAAUCAUCAGCAAUGUUAGCCUGGCAAACGUGAGCUUUCUCUCCUUUGCCCAUUCAGGUCAGGCUCUAUGUGGCAAGGGCAAGGGAGAGGCAUGAUUGUGUGUCUCUGACUGUCUGUGGACCCCGACUCCUCACCAUCACCCCACAGGGCACAGUCCUGCUGGCUGUGUCUUCCCGGAAGGAUUGUGCCCCCACAGAUUGUCUAGUGAGCCUGUCAGCUGUACUGCAUCGCUCUGUGCACGUGACCUAGCUCUCUCCAGGCCCCCUGCUCCAUCCCACAUGCAGCCUCCAUUCACUGUCCUCCAGCUCUCAGCCCCCAGGCAGCCCCACCCUUGACCCACCACCUCCAUCUGCACCUGCUUGUGGAGCCUGUGUCAUGGCAGAGAGGCGACCUGACCAUUCUCAGCCCACAGCACCACUGGAUCUUUCCCCGAUCUCUGUGGGAAGAUAGCUGGUCUCAAUUGCAUGUGGCCUUUUCUCUUGUGGUUGGGCCAGGAUGAGCAGGAAGCCAUCGUUGAGGCAUGGAAGCCUAGGUGGGAGAAUAGAGCCAGCACUGUAGAGUGGGAAGGGCUCGGUGCUUCCAGGGGUAGACAUUCGGCAGCAGGCUGGAGAAAGCUGUUUGCAACGAGCACUCAAAAAACAUGAGUUUUAGAGCCAAAUGGAAAGUCAUCGAGCCCAGUUAAAGUCAUCCCUUGGUAUCUGUGGGAGAUAGAUUCCGGGACCCCUCUCAGAUACAAAGCCCAAGGAUGCCCAUGUCCUUAUAGGUAUGUAGAUUAUAUGCACAUACUACACCAUUUCAUGUGUUUUAUAUAUAUUUUAUUUUUAGUUUGUAUUUUUUAAUUGAUUUUUUUUCCCUCAUAUUUUCUACCCAAAGCUGAUGGGAUUCGUGGGUACAGAGGUCCGACUGUGUUUCAUGAUUCAGAGUAGAAAACUGCAACCUAGCACAGAGGCAAGGAUGUGCUUAAGAACUACUGUUGGUUGGCACCAGGUCUGGGAUAUGAACCCCAAUCUCUGUUGCCGUCUGUCCAAAAGUGGCUGAGCUGGUUUCAGGAUUGGAGCAGACAGCUGCCCAUGUGUUGGGAUUUGAGGAAUCUGCCGUUUCCUCCCUGGAAUUUCCACCUUUAGCAUUACCUCUGGAGUAAGUCAGGGAUUACCAAACGUCUUGUUACCAAAGAACUCUUUCUUCCCACACCACCUGACACAGAACAGAAAAGAGCAGAGAUGCUUUGGUUCAAGUGCCUGGGAAAGAACGGAUGUUUCAGAGCGGACCUGUUCAGCUUCUCCCAAUUCUCCAGUGAGCUCCCUUAGGCAUCUCACUAGAACCUUUAGAGCUCCAUGGAGUAUAGUGAGAAAUGUUUAUGGCUUCUAUUACCAGGCCAGAUGAAUAGAUGUAAACAUUAACACCUUCUGCACCUUAAUUAGCAUGGGUGUGUUUAGCAGAGUAAUUGAGAGCAGAGACUAGGUUGAUAAAAGAAUAGUUUUCCCAAUAGGAUAGUUUUUGAUUAAGGAAAUAUUUGGAGAGCUAUGGAAAUGCUUGAAACAUAGGAAGGACAAAUUCAGUGAAAGUGCUUUGGGGUGACGGAGGGCGGGGCACGGUGAGAAUCGGGGCAGCCUGGAAGCUGAAGUUGCCAAACUCUUUACCAAAGUGGUUGUGCCAUUUUGUACUCCCAUCAGCCAUAUAUGAGAGAUUUGGUUC
Molecule: long non-coding RNA, 3961 nt
Organism: Sapajus apella (tufted capuchin)
Lineage: Eukaryota; Metazoa; Chordata; Mammalia; Primates; Cebidae
Exons: 3
Source: RefSeq, a predicted model, not a curated record